AGGUAGGGAUAUUGCGUGAUUUUG
This 24-nucleotide non-coding RNA is filed under the name Arabidopsis thaliana (thale cress). Lineage: Eukaryota; Viridiplantae; Streptophyta; Magnoliopsida; Brassicales; Brassicaceae. The record is from RNAcentral.